Molecule: ribosomal RNA, 1063 nt
Filed under: Listeria monocytogenes
Lineage: Bacteria; Bacillati; Bacillota; Bacilli; Caryophanales; Listeriaceae
Description: partial 23S ribosomal RNA
Rfam family: Bacterial large subunit ribosomal RNA
Source: RNAcentral
GGUUAAGUUAGAAAGGGCGCACGGUGGAUGCCUUGGCACUAGGAGCCGAAGAAGGACGGGACUAACACCGAUAUGCUUUGGGGAGCUGUACGUAAGCGUUGAUCCAGAGAUUUCCGAAUGGGGGAACCCACUAUCUUUAGUCGGAUAGUAUCCUUACGUGAAUACAUAGCGUGAGGAAGGCAGACCCAGGGAACUGAAACAUCUAAGUACCUGGAGGAAGAGAAAGAAAAAUCGAUUUCCUGAGUAGCGGCGAGCGAAACGGAAAGAGCCCAAACCAAGAAGCUUGCUUCUUGGGGUUGUAGGACACUCUAUACGGAGUUACAAAAGAAAGUUAUAAAUGAAGCGGUCUGGAAAGGCCCGCCAAAGACGGUAACAGCCCGGUAGUUGAAAUGGCUUUCCCUCCAGAGUGGAUCCUGAGUACGGCGGAACACGUGAAAUUCCGUCGGAAUCCGGGAGGACCAUCUCCCAAGGCUAAAUACUCCCUAGUGACCGAUAGUGAACCAGUACCGUGAGGGAAAGGUGAAAAGCACCCCGGAAGGGGAGUGAAACAGUUCCUGAAACCGUGUGCCUACAAGUAGUUAGAGCCCGUUAAUGGGUGAUAGCGUGCCUUUUGUAGAAUGAACCGGCGAGUUACGAUUUGUUGCAAGGUUAAGCGGAAAAAGCGGAGCCGUAGCGAAAGCGAGUCUGAAUAGGGCGCAUAAGUAACAGGUCGUAGACCCGAAACCAGGUGAUCUACCCAUGUCCAGGAUGAAGGUAAGGUAAUACUUACUGGAGGUCCGAACCCACGCACGUUGAAAAGUGCGGGGAUGAGGUGUGGGUAGCGGAGAAAUUCCAAUCGAACUUGGAGAUAGCUGGUUCUCUCCGAAAUAGCUUUAGGGCUAGCCUCGAGGUAAAGAGUCAUGGAGGUAGAGCACUGUUUGGACUAGGGGCCCUUCUCGGGUUACCGAAUUCAGAUAAACUCCGAAUGCCAUGUACUUAUACUCGGGAGUCAGACUGCGAGUGAUAAGAUCCGUAGUCGAAAGGGAAACAGCCCAGACCACCAGUUAAGGUCCCCAAAUAUAUG